This 254-nucleotide ribosomal RNA is filed under the name uncultured bacterium. RNAcentral's name for it is "partial 16S ribosomal RNA". It matches the Rfam family "Bacterial small subunit ribosomal RNA", at positions 524 to 776 of the family's 1533-position model. The record is from RNAcentral.
UACGUAGGGGGCAAGCGUUGUCCGGAUUUAUUGGGCGUAAAGAGCGUGUAGGCGGUCAGGUAGGUCCGUUGUGAAAACUCGAGGCUCAACCUCGAGACGCCGAUGGAAACCAUCUGACUAGAGUCCGGAAGAGGAGAGUGGAAUUCCCGGUGUAGCGGUGAAAUGCGCAGAUAUCGGGAGGAACACCAAUGGCGAAGGCGGCUCUCUGGGGACGGUACUGACGCUGAGACGCGAAAGCGUGGGGAGCAAACAGG